UCCUGGGUGGUGCAAGCGGUGAACACGUUCAGCUGCUAACUGAAAAGCUGGAGGUUCAAGUCCACCCAAAGGAG
Molecule: transfer RNA, 74 nt
Filed under: Loxodonta africana (African savanna elephant)
Lineage: Eukaryota; Metazoa; Chordata; Mammalia; Proboscidea; Elephantidae
Rfam family: tRNA
About the family: Transfer RNA (tRNA) molecules are approximately 80 nucleotides in length. Their secondary structure includes four short double-helical elements and three loops (D, anti-codon, and T loops).
Source: Rfam by way of RNAcentral